GCCCGGGUGGUGAAACUGGUAGACACAAGGGACUUAAAAUCCCUCGGCUUCACGGCCGUGCCGGUUCGAUUCCGGCCCCGGGCACCA
This 87-nucleotide transfer RNA is filed under the name Gammaproteobacteria bacterium. Its description in RNAcentral is "tRNA-Leu". It matches the Rfam family "tRNA". Rfam says of the family: Transfer RNA (tRNA) molecules are approximately 80 nucleotides in length. Their secondary structure includes four short double-helical elements and three loops (D, anti-codon, and T loops). The record is from RNAcentral. RNAcentral also lists the same sequence under 2 other names. Lineage: Bacteria; Pseudomonadati; Pseudomonadota; Gammaproteobacteria.